This 1305-nucleotide long non-coding RNA is filed under the name Sus scrofa (pig). RNAcentral describes it as "lncRNA (ENSSSCG00030073675.1)". The record is from RNAcentral. Lineage: Eukaryota; Metazoa; Chordata; Mammalia; Artiodactyla; Suidae.
CGCAUAAUGAAGGUGGAUUCCCAUGGUGUGUAUCAACAAUUUAUAAAGAAAUCUUCUACAAGAUUGGAAUCAAAGGACUUCAUCCAAGGUUACUGAUACAGCCAUCCUUUCAGAUGGCAAUGCAUUCUGCUGAUGCUUGCUGUCAGCCGGGGCUCCAUAUUACUCCUUCUCAGGGGGGUGUUGAUUGGUCCAACGCAAAGCUUCCUUGGAAUCCCUUAUCUAAUGCUUUGUAACAGGACAGCCUGGUGUGGGUUGCUGUCCACAGGUGUUCUGUGAGGUAUUAGAACUUACAGAGGGAAGCCAGUGUGCUUCCAACUGAGUCAAACCCUUCAGUCAAUCCACCUGAAAGCUUAAUUGUAUAUUUUAAGGUAAACUGGAUUUAAAUACCUGUUAACAGCUCAGUAUUCAGUACCCUAAAAUAGGAAGAUGGUGUGAUUUGAGUUCUGAGGUUUCAAGUAUGAUUCUCUGAUAUCUUAUGACUAAAUUGACAUCCUUUAGUACAUUCCUUUUCUCUUUCAGCUAGCUAAUGUGGAUCCUGUCCUCUGCAACUAAGAACCCCAAAUGAUUCUGAGAUAUCAAUAUCAAUUGAGAGGAAGAAGAUUCAUGUUGGACAUUAAGGGCACAUCCAUCUGCCACUGCAAAAUACCUCUAACCACCAGUAAGAAACUCACUGGUGUGCAGACUUCUGCCUUCUCCCAAUUCCACUUGAGAAAUGAGAAUGGAUGCUAAAAGUCGAAAGGUCAACGUAUCUCUUUGCUCCAUAGCUAGAGAGAAAGCAACAUGCCACAAAUAAGGAAUUGUUCAGAACAAAUCUUUUUUAUUUUCACACAACUGGAAGAUUCAUUAUGUUAUUUGGGAGUGUGGAGAUCAGUGAGCUGGGCAGAGACAUUUUGAAUAGAAGCAAUGUAUUGGUGUUUCUGUUUCAGUUCGCAGCAUUUGUACGUCCCUUGCAACCAUUUCUGUGUGAAGAAAAAUAAUUGAUUUUGUAGAAAUACUAUGUGCAAGAUUCUUUUAUUUACCUCAAAUACAUGUUUACUAUGUCAGGAGAGGCUUCUUUCUUACAGAUGAUUCUUUUGAAACUUGGUGACCCCACUGUGAAACCUUGCCCCACCAGCAGUUUCAUCAUCAACAAGCUGGGUUUUCCUGCAGGUUUUAUCUAUCUGUUUAUCUUUAGCUGUCUAUCUUGAAGAAUAUUCUUUAUAAAACAAAUUUAGAGAAGGAUUAAAGGAAGACCUUUAAUUAUAAGGGACUUUUUUAGAAACCCUCUGGACUUAUCCAUCUUUGUUUAUUCCAAUUCUAUUUUCC